RNAcentral lists this transfer RNA (72 nucleotides) under Schizosaccharomyces octosporus. Its description in RNAcentral is "tRNA-Phe". It matches the Rfam family "tRNA". From Rfam's summary of the family: Transfer RNA (tRNA) molecules are approximately 80 nucleotides in length. The record is from RNAcentral. Lineage: Eukaryota; Fungi; Ascomycota; Schizosaccharomycetes; Schizosaccharomycetales; Schizosaccharomycetaceae.
GCUUUGAUAACUUAACGGCUAAAGUACAGUAUUGAAGCUACUGAUAUAUAGGUUCGAUUCCUUUUCAAAGCA